Molecule: RNA transcript, 2323 nt
Organism: Helianthus annuus (common sunflower)
Lineage: Eukaryota; Viridiplantae; Streptophyta; Magnoliopsida; Asterales; Asteraceae
Exons: 9
Source: RefSeq, a predicted model, not a curated record
CUCAAAACCCUAGAUCAAACGAGUGCAAGUUCCAUUCUUCAUUCUCAUAUUCAUCAACCGCCACUCUUCUUCUCACAUUCGACGGCACCACAUCUACCUUCUGAUGAUUAUUUUCAAGUAGAUUAAUCCAUUUCUUAUUUGUUCCUCAUUCAAUUAGACUUCAUUUGUUCGCAACCUUCUGUCAGUCUGGGUUUUAGAUCACUCACCGGUGCCGAAAUUGCAGAAAUCGGAGGAAUCAGAGAGUUUUGAGGAAUUUUGGGGUUUCGCCACUACUCAAUUUGCUUCUUUUGCUUCGACGAGCGGUAUAUUCUAACUCGCACUGGUAUAUUAAGGGAAAACUCGCACGUUCUUUGUCAUGCCAGUGAAAAGAAAAUGGAGGAGCAAGUAGAAGAAUUAUGCUGUAAAAGACCGCUUUUGAUGAAAAGAAAGGAGGUAUAGUGACCAUGCCUUUCAUCAUAGGUACGAAAUAAUCCACAUUCUUGAAGUUAAAUUUUGAAAUUAUUGUGAUUUUACAUCAUGGGUUCCUUGAAUCUUGAAGUUUUAUGUUUUAGUAAAAAAGUUUUUUGGUGUUUCAGUUUGAUUGUAUAUUUAAAUUUUUUAGUGUUUUAGGUUGAAUAUCUAUUAUUAUGCAUUACAAUCGUGACACAUUUGCCUUAUGAAUAUGUCAAAUGAGGAUUUUUUUGUUAUUCUGGUUAAAAAUAUCUGAUACAUAUAUUGUUUAAUCGAACUCAUGUAUUUUGUUUUUGUUUUUUAUAUUGUUGGUCUAAUCUAUUCUUGAUUUUUGUUUUGGACUUGAUGAAUGAUGUUUUUUUUUUUUGACGUGGAAGCAUGAGGAUAUAUAGUUCACUGAGUUUAUAGAAUCAUUGAAGGGUCCAAUUUUGUGUUAUUUCUGUGCAUUAGAUAGAACUGUUUUGUAUUUGUCAUGUUUUCUAAUGUUGUUGUCCCUCUCUUAUCAUUUCCAUGCAUUUAUCGUGAAACUAAGGUGGAUAUGGACAUUAACAGCAGUUUAUAGCAUUGACGAAGUGACUUUCUUUCAACUAUAAGUUUCAUCAGGUGAUCUCUUGGUAAGAUCGCUCUUUUUUACUUAUUAGAAUUGGUUCAGAUCCGUACAAUGUGUCUAUUGUUAAAUUUGAUUAGUUACUAUUUGGUAUUAAUCGUUUAUUUGUGUAUCGAGAUCAAAUUAUGAACAUCAUCUUGAUUCAUGAUUCACACAAGUUGGCCUCUAAACCACAAAAAGUUGUGUUUCUUAGAUCCUAUGUGCUUUUUAUAACGAAAUAUGGGGAAAAUUAGUUAGAUGAUAACAAAGAUUAUUCAUCAUGGUAUUCGUUUGUUUUAAUUUGGGCUGAUGACGAAGAUAGUGAAGCAAUUAAGCUCACCUUUAGUAAAAACAAAAUUGAGGCCGACAAGAACUGGCUUUGGUCACUUCAGGUUUGGACUAUUGAUAUUUAAUCUUUACUUAGAAUUUAGUGUGUUCAAUAUGUGGGUAGACUUUAUGAUCAUAAUGGAUAUGAAACAAGAUAACCAAUAUGUGUUGUUUUUGUUUUACAUAUUGUCUGAACCUAAUGUCCAAUUUGCCAUUUAUAUGACCCUAAUGUAGAAAUCCUUAAUAUGGUUGUCACCAUGGUUGGAAAAUUUACAUAUCUAUAUUGUGCAGAAGAUGGAACAAAAAAAAUGGUUGAUGCUGUCACAGGAGUUUAAGUGUUAGGACAUUCUUUAAGAUGGAACGACGAUAAUGAAACUGAAUUGUCAUGUUGCUCUUCAUCCAACCGUUCGGUUCAUUCAUUAGUACUUGCAAGGAGCUGAAGAACAAGUAAGAGGAAGAGAAGCGUCGUAAAGAAUAAGAGAGGAGAAAAGGUUGAAAUAAGCUUCCACCUUUUCAUUUGAUGAGGUUUUGGUCGUUUUUAGAGGAGGAAAUCGAGGAUGAAAAGAUUCACGAGAGUGCCAGCGAGAAGCGUGAAGAUGGCCAAUAUACCACCGGACGAUUAUUCGUGGAGGAAAUACGGCCAAAAGCCGAUCAAAGGCUCACCCUAUCCAAGGUUACUUUGGCAAACCAACCCAAGAAAUCCGCUGAAGGCUCUUAUGAUUCUCAUUAGCAAAGGCUAUAAAUUUAGAUAAUGAUCCGUGCACAAUUCCCAAGUUGAAUGUGAUGCCAAUCUUAUGGAACGUAGUUCAAGAGCAUUUGGAUUGCUAACUUUGUUUAAUUCAUAUAGUGUUGACAUGUAUUGUUUUGUUCAAACUUUUUUCAAAUAUAGUAAAAAAUAAAAGACUAUGUUGGCAUGGUUAUUAUUAUUUUUUAGUUGUAAUAAUGGUAAAUUUUCUUUAU